This is a long non-coding RNA of Vigna unguiculata (cowpea), 763 nucleotides long. The record is from RefSeq and is a predicted model, not a curated record. NCBI's taxonomy places the organism in Eukaryota, Viridiplantae, Streptophyta, Magnoliopsida, Fabales, Fabaceae.
AAAGGAAAAUAGGGUUUCUAAUGGCUUCUGCUUCUCUCAUUCUUGCAUUGGCCAUAAUAUUUUUCAGUCUCCCAUUUCAAAUUUCAGGAAACCAGUAUGUGUCUCCACCACCACCUCACAAGAAACCCUAUCACCAUCCCAAUCCACCACCACCAUCUCAAAUAGUGCACCACCACCCACCACCUCCUCAUCCACUCCACCACUCUCCUCCACCGCCAAAUAAACCAUACAAGUCCACUCCUCCACCACCACCACCACCACCCAAAAAGAAACCCUACAAAUACCCUUCUCCCCCUCCUCCGGUGCCGAAGAAGCCUUACCCAGUUUACCACUCUCCACCGCCACCGCCACCACCACACAAGAAGCCGUACAAAUAUCCAUCUCCUCCACCUCCACCGCACAAUAAGCCACCUUCCCCUCACCCAGUUUACCACUCUCCUCCGCCACCUCCUAAGCCAUACAAAUACCCUUCCCCUCCUCCACCACACAAAUAAUUCCCCAUUAAUAUUAUGGAUCUGAGCAGAGGAAGCCAUGAACUGAAGGGAGCACUUCCAAAAUGUAAUGGAAUAAAAGAUGGAACUUUUCAUAUAUUUUCAUUGGUGUUUAAUUAUUGUUCAGAAUGGAUUUUCUUUUUCUAUUUUUAGUAAGGUACUGUUCCCUCCAUGCAUUUACUUCAUUUUGGCCAUGCACUGUAAUUUUUGAAGGUUGUCUGUUCGCGUAUUAGGCUGGCAAAGCAAUAUAAAGAAUAUAUAUUUCACCAACA